UUACUACUCUCUCCGUCCUGAAUUACUUGUCUUAGAUUUGGUCUAGAUACGAAUGUAUCUAGACACGUUUUAGUGUUAGAUACAUCUGUAUCUAGACAAAUCUAAGACAAGUAAAUUGGGACAGAGGUGAUAUUAU
Molecule: non-coding RNA, 136 nt
Organism: Triticum aestivum (bread wheat)
Lineage: Eukaryota; Viridiplantae; Streptophyta; Magnoliopsida; Poales; Poaceae
Source: Rfam